GACGAACGCUGGCGGCGUGCCUAAUACAUGCAAGUUGAGCGCUGAAGGUUGGUACUUGUACCAACUGGAUGAGCAGCGAACGGGUGAGUAACGCGUGGGGAAUCUGCCUUUGAGCGGGGGACAACAUUUGGAAACGAAUGCUAAUACCGCAUAAAAACUUUAAACACAAGUUUUAAGUUAGAAAGAUGCAAUUGCAUCACUCAAAGAUGAUCCCGCGUUGUAUUAGCUAGUUGGUGAGGUAAAGGCUCACCAAGGCGAUGAUACAUAGCCGACCUGAGAGGGUGAUCGGCCACAUUGGGACUGAGACACGGCCCAAACUCCUACGGGAGGCAGCAGUAGGGAAUCUUCGGCAAUGGACGAAAGUCUGACCGAGCAACGCCGCGUGAGUGAAGAAGGUUUUCGGAUCGUAAAACUCUGUUGGUAGAGAAGAACGUUGGUGAGAGUGGAAAGCUCAUCAAGUGACGGUAACUACCCAGAAAGGGACGGCUAACUACGUG
RNAcentral lists this ribosomal RNA (497 nucleotides) under uncultured bacterium. RNAcentral describes it as "partial 16S ribosomal RNA". It matches the Rfam family "Bacterial small subunit ribosomal RNA", at positions 28 to 507 of the family's 1533-position model. The record is from RNAcentral.